AUACGGAGGGGGCUAGCGUUGUUCGGAAUUACGGGGCGUAAAGCGUACGUAGGCGGACUGAUCAGUUGGGGGUGAAAUCCCAGGGCUUAACCCUGGAACUGCCUUCAAUACUGUCAGUCUUGAGUUUGGGAGAGGUGAGUGGAAUUCCUAGUGUAGAGGUGAAAUUCAUAGAUAUUAGGAGGAACACCAGUGGCGAAGGCGGCUCAUUGGCCCAUUACUGACGCUGAGGUACGAAAGCGUGGGGAGCAAACAGGAUUAGAUACCCUAGUAGUCC
RNAcentral lists this ribosomal RNA (274 nucleotides) under uncultured bacterium. Its description in RNAcentral is "partial 16S ribosomal RNA". It matches the Rfam family "Bacterial small subunit ribosomal RNA", at positions 523 to 796 of the family's 1533-position model. The record is from RNAcentral.